This 855-nucleotide ribosomal RNA is filed under the name uncultured organism. RNAcentral describes it as "SSU rRNA". It matches the Rfam family "Bacterial small subunit ribosomal RNA", at positions 31 to 850 of the family's 1533-position model. The record is from RNAcentral.
GAACGCUGGCGGCGCGCUUAACACAUGCAAGUCGAACGGAAAGAGAUGAAAGAGCUCGCUCUUUUAUUAAUUUCAGUGGCAAACGGGUGAGUAACACGUAAACAACCUGCCUUAAGGAUGGGGAUAACAGACGGAAACGACUGCUAAUACCGAAUACGUUCUAAGCAUCGCAUGGUGCAUAGAAGAAAGGGUGGCCUCUACAAGAAAGCUAUCGCCUUAAGAGGGGUUUGCGACUGAUUAGGUAGUUGGUGAGGUAACGGCUCACCAAGCCGACGAUCAGUAGCCGGUCUGAGAGGAUGAACGGCCACACUGGAACUGAGACACGGUCCAGACUCCUACGGGAGGCAGCAGUGGGGAAUCUUCCGCAAUGGACGAAAGUCUGACGGAGCAACGCCGCGUGAACGAAGAAGGUCUUCGGAUUGUAAAGUUCUGUGAUUCGGGACGAAAGGGUUUGUGGUGAAUAAUCAUAGACAUUGACGGUACCGAAAAAGCAAGCCACGGCUAACUACGUGCCAGCAGCCGCGGUAAUACGUAGGUGGCAAGCGUUGUCCGGAAUUAUUGGGCGUAAAGCGCGCGCAGGCGGUUUCUUAAGUCCAUCUUAAAAGCGUGGGGCUCAACCCCAUGAGGGGAUGGAAACUGGGAAGCUGGAGUAUCGGAGAGGAAAGUGGAAUUCCUAGUGUAGCGGUGAAAUGCGUAGAGAUUAGGAAGAACACCGGUGGCGGAGGCGACUUUCUAGACGAAAACUGACGCUGAGGCGCGAAAGCGUGGGGAGCAAACAGGAUUAGAUACCCUGGUAGUCCACGCCGUAAACGAUGGAUACUAGGUGUAGGAGGUAUCGACCCCUCCUGUGCCGGA